This 74-nucleotide transfer RNA is filed under the name Mahella australiensis 50-1 BON. It matches the Rfam family "tRNA". From Rfam's summary of the family: Transfer RNA (tRNA) molecules are approximately 80 nucleotides in length. Their secondary structure includes four short double-helical elements and three loops (D, anti-codon, and T loops). The record is from Rfam by way of RNAcentral. Lineage: Bacteria; Bacillati; Bacillota; Clostridia; Mahellales; Mahellaceae.
GGGGUUAUAGCUCAGCUGGUUAGAGCGCCACGUUGACAUCGUGGAGGUCACAGGUUCGAUCCCUGUUAAUCCCA